RNAcentral lists this ribosomal RNA (362 nucleotides) under Klebsiella pneumoniae. RNAcentral describes it as "bacterial SSU rRNA". It matches the Rfam family "Bacterial small subunit ribosomal RNA", at positions 1019 to 1378 of the family's 1533-position model. Lineage: Bacteria; Pseudomonadati; Pseudomonadota; Gammaproteobacteria; Enterobacterales; Enterobacteriaceae. The record is from RNAcentral.
UUCGGGAACUGUGAGACAGGCGCUGCAUGUACUGUCGUCAGCUCGUGUUGUGAAAUGUUGGGUUAAGUCCCGCAACGAGCGCAACCCUUAUCCUUUGUUGCCAGCGGUUCAGGCCGGGAACUCAAAGGAGACUGCCAGUGAUAAACUGGAGGAAGGUGGGGAUGACGUCAAGUCAUCAUGGCCCUUACGACCAGGGCUACACACGUGCUACAAUGGCAUAUACAAAGAGAAGCGACCUCGCGAGAGCAAGCGGACCUCAUAAAGUAUGUCGUAGUCCGGAUUGGAGUCUGCAACUCGACUCCAUGAAGUCGGAAUCGCUAGUAAUCGUAGAUCAGAAUGCUACGGUGAAUACGUUCCCGGGG